UCAUUUGUCAGUUUGUUGGCUGAAUGGCAAUUUUCAUGAGGUUUUUUGGGGACUGAAAAAGCAUGCAUUUUGAUUCAUUUGUCAUUGCCUGCAGGAACCCAUCAAAGUCAUCUUUAACCAUUCUGAGAAAGUGUUUGACUGGUGGUAAUAUUUUGCGCCGGAUAUUGAAUAAGCUCGGACCCGGCUCUGAAGGUGAUUCCAAUUUUCUUCAGUUUCCUCGGAAAAAUAAAAAAAAUCUCUGCGGCAGCUACAAGAUGAUCUAGACUAACCAUCCGAAAGCAGUGAAGCUUAACAAUCAAAUGAGAUCUCAGAGCCAGUUCCUCACUCCCAAAUGAUCCCCAGUCUACAACAUUAUCUCCAGCAACUCUCGCGGCUACUCGUACGCCAUGUCUCGUCCCAACAUCAAAACCUCUCUGCAAAACUCGUUCUCUAUCACGAUCCUUCAGCGCAACUAUCUUACAUGGAAGUAUCCCAGAAAUUCUAUGAAGCCAUGAAAGCCUGUACGUACCUUAAGUCCACACCCAUUGCCCAAAAGCUUCAUGCUCAGCUCAUCUCCACUGGUCUAGACUCCUCCAUUUUCCUCCAGAACCAUCUCUUGCACCUGUACUCCAAUUGCAAUUUGAUCAACGACGCUUGUCGGGUUUUUAAUAGUAUCGAGAAUCAUAAUGUUUUUAGUUGGAAUACGAUGAUAACUGGUCUGGUGGAGUCGGGUCGGAUGAGUGAAGCGGAGAAGCUAUUCGGGGAAAUGCCUGAAAGAGACUCUGUUUCUUGGACUGCGAUGAUGUCGGGCUAUUUCCAUAAUAAACAACCGGAGAAUACUGUAAAUAUGUUUUCUUUGAUGGUACGAAAUGGAAACUAUGCUGAUGACCCAUUUCCCUCUACUUGUGCAAUGAAGGCUUGCGGUAAUCUUGGCUACACAAAGUUGGCUCUUCAAUUGCACGGUCUUGUGGAGAAGUUUGAUUUUGGAAGCGAUGCAUAUAUGGCUAUUCAGAAUUCAAUAAUGGAUAUGUAUAUCAAGUCUGGAAAAGUGAACUAUGCUGAGAGAGUGUUUUUAAGGAUCCCGAACCCGAGCUUGUUUUGUUGGAACAGUAUGAUCUACGGUUACUCUAAACUGUACGGGGUUGGAAGUGCUCUUCGUUUGUUUGACCAAAUGCCUGAACGUGACUGUGUGUCUUGGAACACUAUGAUUUCGAUCUUCUCUCAACAUGGCUCUGGGGUUCAGAGCCUCAGUAUGUUUGUUGAGAUGUGGAAUCAAGGUAUUAGACCAAAUUCCAUGACGUAUGCCAGCGUACUUAGUGCGUGCACAAGUAUCUAUGAUCUGGAAUGGGGGAGCCAUUUGCAUGCUCGGGUUAUCCGCAUGGAACCGACUCUCGAUGCUUUUGUAGGUAGUGGUUUGGUUGAUAUGUAUGCAAAAUGUGGAUGCUUGGAGUUUGCAAAGCGGGUAUUUGAUGGCUUAACGGAACAGAAUGCGGUUUCUUGGACUUCUUUAAUCAGUGGAUUUGCACUGUUUGGGCUUGAAGAAGAAGCUUUGCUACUCUUUAAUCAAAUGAGAGAGGCUUCUGUUGCGUUGGAUGAAUUUACUUUUGCAACAAUUCUUGGCGUUUGUUCAGCUCAGAAGGAUGCUUCAAUCGGGGAACAGCUACAUGGAUGUACAAUCAAGAGUGGAAUGGAUUCCUCCGUUGCUGUAGGAAAUGCUGUUGUUACGAUGUAUGCUAAGUGUGGAAAUGCUCAGAAAGCAAACCGUGUAUUUGAAUUGAUGCCAACUAAAGACAUAAUAUCAUGGACAGCGAUGAUCACAGUAUUCUCUCAGGUGGGAAAUAUUGAAAAAGCUCAAAAUUAUUUUGACAAAAUGCCGGAGCGGAAUGUCAUUACAUGGAAUACAAUGUUAGGCACAUAUACUCAACAUGGCUUUUGGGAAGAAGGUCUCAAAUUGUAUACUGUGAUGAGAAGGCAAGGUGUUAAGCCUGAUUGGAUCACUUUUGCAACUUCAAUUAGCGCCUGUGCUGAUUUAGCAACACUAAAACUUGGGAUUCAAAUUGUAACUCAAGCCAAAAAAUCAGGCUUUGGUUCUAAUGUUUCAGUUGCAAAUAGCGUUGUUACCAUGUAUUCAAGAUGUGGACGAAUUGAAGAAGCACACAAAAUUUUUGAUUUCAUACACGGGAAAAAUUUGAUUUCUUGGAAUGCUAUAAUGGCAGGAUAUGCACAAAACGGUCAAGGUAGGAAAGUAAUAGAGAUUUUUGAGAAUAUGUUGAAAAUGAAAUGCUCACCUGAUCAUAUAAGCUACGUAUCUGUUCUAUCAGGUUGUAGCCAUUCAGGGCUUGUAAUAGAAGGAAAGCAUUACUUUUAUUCCAUGACUGAAGAUUUUGGCAUCUCUCCAACAUCUGAGCAUUUUGCUUGUAUGGUGGAUCUGCUUGGUCGGGCUGGACUACUGGAGGAGGCCAAGAAUUUGAUUGAUGGAAUGCCUUUUAAGCCCAAUGUUGCUAUUUGGGGGGCUCUGCUCGGUGCCUGUCGUACACAUCAAGACUCAAAAUUGGCAGAAUAUGCAGUGAAGAACUUACUUGAGUUAAAUGCGGACGAUUCUGGAAGUUACAUCCUUCUAGCAAACACAUAUACAGAUUGUGGAAAAUUAGACGGACUUGCAGAUGUGAGAAAACUGAUGAGAGAGAAAGGAAUCCGAAAAAAUCCUGGUUGUAGCUGGAUAGAGGUUGAAAAUAGGGUACACGUGUUCACUGUUGAUGACACUAAUCACCCACAAAUCAAGGACAUUUACAGAAUGUUGGAGGUGAUCAUGAAGAAGAUAGAAGAUAUUGGAAGCUACACUAAUGCAAUUACUUCUCUUCGUUCUCAGGGUUACCACAGUGAAAAGCUUGCUGUGGCUUUUGGUUUGAUUAGCUUGCCUGCUUGGAUGCCUAUCCAUGUAAUGAAGAAUCUUCGAGUGUGCAAUGAUUGCCACUUGGUAAUAAAGCUGAUUUCUCUUGUUACCUCAAGGGAGCUUAUAGUGCGCGAUGCAUACCGAUUUCAUCAUUUCAAGUAUGGGUUUUGCACUUGUGGAGAUUACUGGUGAUCUAAAGUUUUAUGCACAUUUGAAGUGCUAAUAAAAAUAUGGAUCUGGCAUUGCUCUGUUCUGAAAGGGUCAUCUUGUAAUACAAGCCCGUUGCGCAUGCAAAGCUCUCAGUUUGGUUUACUCUUUACCGCAACUAGUUUCCAUGUCUUCCUUGUGUUGCAUAUUCUUCUUAUCUUUGGGAAGUGCUGGUUAUAGAACUGGUGAAGUUCAUUCACUUAUUUAUCCAUGAAAAUUUAUUUAUAUAUAUACAUAUAUUUAUCCAUGAAAAUGUAUAGGUCUAUAUUUAUAUGUAAUAUUUGUUAUUAUGUCAUAUUUGAUUGUAUCAGCAUUUUAAGGUUACAGUUGCAUAGAUUAUGAUGGAGUAACUUAGAGGAGGGAAACAUAAGACGGUACAACUCACCUGGUAUACAUUUAAGUAUUUCUAGAACAUCAACCCUCUUUCUAUUCCUUCUCAGAAUACAGUUUUCGCAUCUCAACGAGGGCCCAGAAUUCCUGAAGUUUGGCCAAAAUAUCCCCUAGAUUUGAUUUUUUGGAAAACAUUUAUUCGUCACAAUUAUGUUUCAGUUGAUUUUAUUUUAUUUUUCGUGUUCUUGAAAGGUUUCUUUAUAUUUCUUUUCUUGUAUCAACCCUUAGGUGUUGGCUCAAGAGGUAAGGGCCUUGGUCUUGGGGAUAUGCUUCCCUCAAGUCUAAGGUUGGAACCCUUUGGUGCAAACAAGUCCUAGGGGUCAUGUCCCAUCACUGGAAAACCGAUGAUUUACUUGAUCCGUGUGAUGGUGGAGCAUAUUACACUGGUCUGGCGUUCAUUCAGGUUUGUUGAUGUUUUGUUUAGAGAAGAAAGUUGAGCCUAAUAUUGAAGCCAAACUAUGCUCUGAAUCUGAUGCAAAAUUGUAGAUGAACAUGAGAGCACAAGAGAGUGAGUGAGAGAAAAUCUGCUGAAGUGGGAAGAUUAAAUAAUCACCUUUAUGCAGACAAGUACAGAUUUCUCGCUAGCGCCGACAAAUAGAAACACGCUGACCAGAGAAACUGAUGGAGGAGGAAUAUCUGCUCAAUCUUCAUGAAGUUCUGGAGGAGACGGAUGAUGCUUCAUUCAAUCCAAAUUGGAUUGCUUUAUAUACUCCCCUUUUCAUGAAAGAAAUUUUCUUAAAUACAAAUUCUGAAAAGCUGCAAGGAUGAAAAAAGAAAAAUUAUAUUUGCAAGUUGGUGUGUCGUCCAUAUCGGCGCGGAGGUGGUCUGUCCUCCUUAUCGACUUGCAUGAAGGACUUUGGGAAAAAAAAUCAGGGCGCUAACAUGAUUUACUCUGCUUAAUUCUCUUGUAAGUUGUCACAAUAAGUCAUCAGUUAUAUUUUAAUAGUAGGAUGAUCAACUCAACAAGAGACAUCCUUAUUUCUAAAAAGGUAUGCUAACCUUGAUUGUAUCCUGUU
Juglans microcarpa x Juglans regia is the source of this 4485-nucleotide RNA transcript. It is a transcript of the gene named pentatricopeptide repeat-containing protein At2g13600-like, with no coding region annotated. NCBI's taxonomy places the organism in Eukaryota, Viridiplantae, Streptophyta, Magnoliopsida, Fagales, Juglandaceae. The transcript is spliced from 5 exons. The record is from RefSeq and is a predicted model, not a curated record.